GACUCAACCAAUCAUACUCUCAUAGUUCUAUCUUUUUCUCAUCGAUGGGAGACCCUAAUCUUCCUCCUUGUAUAUUUUCUCCCAAUAAAGAACCCUCCGGCGAGAGGGUUAACUCGUACCAUAGGAUUAAAGACGACAGAGUCCAUCUUUGAAGCACUUGAUUCAGAAGAGCUUGUUUUUCUGAGGAAUUUAACCUUUGCAAAGGUUUUAAUCCUAGAUGAUAAUCCUCCUUUUUUCGAUGCCUUUGGCAAUUUUCGUACUUGUGAGGAGGUUGAAGACAAACAAGACGUACAAAAUCUGGAUUUUGUUUGCUUGGAAGCCUAAUCGAUUUUCACUGAGUUAGUUUGAACUGUGGGGAACUUCCUAAUUCCAGGCAUAGGAAGAGAAAAUAAAUCUCGAAUGAGAAACUUUACUGAAAUGAAUUAUUUGGGUCUUUAAAGUCUUGCACCAUUGAAAUUGUGUAGACAUCCUGAAGAAUCACAAGGUUAAGGACAUGGCGACGAGGAUUAAGUUUGCCUGUCUAUCAAUCACGUCAGUUGUACUUCGCCCAUCAUCUCACUUUCCGAAGAUCAUUCCCGAACAUGUGGAGCUCAUCUGUGAUCUAGAUGAGUUUAUGGCAUACCCAUUGAGAAGGGUGAAAUUGUUCUAGCUCAGGAUUUGUUUGCUCUUAGAGGAUAUGUCGAUCCAAUCCAACUUGUUAUGAUGUUGUUGUAGUUACUUUGGAGGAAAAGGUUAACCUAAACGAAACCGGUCGUUGUGGCUGAAUCUUAUAGUGAAACAGAGGUGUCAGUGGGUGAAGAUGGAGCUUUGUCAGAUGAAUCAGCGUGCUCUGAAAAACCAUUUCAACUGCCAAAUUUGUGAUUAAACCUUGGCAUUCUGGAGACUUAGACGUCGAAUACAAGGUCUAUGUUCGAUCUAUUCUUUAUGAUCCACAUGAGGAGUUGUUCUUGGAGAUGAUCUUUCAUGGUCAGAUGAAAAUGAAGACCCGACAGUAGAAACAUUGGUUCGUCUUAUAAGUGAAGGAUUUGUAUUCAAGAUGGAGAUGUUUAAAGGUGGGCUCACAGCGGCCGAUAUUGUACGAAUGUGUGCAGAGAAGCAAAGGGAGAAGGAGACGAAAGAGAAGCAUGACAAAGAAAAUGCCGCAUAGUCAACCGAGGGUGAAUCUUCAGACCAUGUCUCUCAUAUUUCAAUUGCCAAUCUCGUUGCUACGCAGAUUAAGGAAGAAAUUGGAGGUCUAGAGUCUCGAAUUGUUAGUGGAUGAUAAGAUCAUGGUCAUACUUGCUGAGACAGGGCAGAGUUAGAUAGAGGGUAAAACGAGAACUACAGGUCUUGUUGCAGAGAAGGUGGGAUCCGUUCAAAGUGGCUAAGAUGUAGAAAGAAGAAGUGAAGACUCUGGUGGAGCGAGAAUCACUAGUAGUACUAAGUAUUUUAAUUAAAGUGUUGUCGUUUUGCAUUUCAUUAAGUGUCGGAAACCUUAGUGUGCAAAAAUAUAAUUAGAAAUCUGAUCAGCUUUUAUUUCCUUGUCAUCUUCGAUUGACAUCUUUCCAAUCCCAAUUUCAUCUUGUGAUAAUCUGAGUUUAUCAUUUUGGUAUCAGAGCUCAUGGAUCCUCUUGACCUUGAGCAACUUUUGUUACUACCCCGAGAAGCUUUCCGCGAAGUGAUGAAGACAAAAUCAGACGAGGAAGUGACGGCCUUCAACUGGAUAAUGGGUGAACGCUUGCGACAAUCUCUGGAGAAAUGCGAGCUCGAGCUGGAGCGUAGUGAGAGGUUGAGGACAAAAGCCUUAGAGCUUUCGCUAGUAAGAAAACAAGAAACCCCUACCAGAAGAUUCGUCGAACCGGCGGAAGACCAGAAACUACCUGUUGUGAGAAAACACAUAGAAGAUCCUCAACAGAUCGAAGGUUUGAAGAA
This is a long non-coding RNA of Brassica oleracea var. oleracea, 1911 nucleotides long. RefSeq lists it as uncharacterized. Lineage: Eukaryota; Viridiplantae; Streptophyta; Magnoliopsida; Brassicales; Brassicaceae. The transcript is spliced from 2 exons. The record is from RefSeq and is a predicted model, not a curated record.